This 467-nucleotide ribosomal RNA is filed under the name uncultured bacterium. RNAcentral describes it as "partial 16S ribosomal RNA". It matches the Rfam family "Bacterial small subunit ribosomal RNA", at positions 28 to 507 of the family's 1533-position model. The record is from RNAcentral.
GACGAACGCUGGCGGCGUGCUUAACACAUGCAAGUCGAACGGAAAGGCCUCUUUCGGGGGGUACUCGAGUGGCGAACGGGUGAGUAACACGUGAGUAACCUGCCCUUGACUUUGGGAUAACUUCAGGAAACUGGGGCUAAUACCGGAUAGGAGCUCCUGCUGCAUGGGGGGGGUUGGAAAGUUUCGGCGGUUGGGGAUGGACUCGCGGCUUAUCAGCUUGUUGGUGGGGUAGUGGCUGACCAAGGCUUUGACGGGUAGCCGGCCUGAGAGGGUGACCGGCCACAUUGGGACUGAGAUGCGGCCCAGACUCCUACGGGCGGCAGCAGUGGGGAAUAUUGCACAAUGGGUGGAAGCCUGAUGCAGCAACGCCGUGUGCGGGAUGACGGCCUUCGGGUUGUAAACCGCUUUCGCUCAUGACGAAGCUUUGUGUGACGGUAGUGGGUAAAGAAGCACCGGCUAACUACGUG